UGAUUCUAUUGCAUCAAAAGACUUCAAAAUUGUUGAUAUUUUCUUGCAUCAAAAUCACCCAAAAAUGUAGAGAGAAAAUUUCAUUUCAAAGUUUGCCGAUUCCUUGAAGUUUGAAGCGCUUCUACUACAAGGAGGAAUCAUUGUAACUUAGGAGAUGAUUGUCCAGACUCUGUAAGCACCUUGAUGAGGCAAAUUCGUCUUAAAGACAAAGUGUUGAACACUUACCUCGAUUUUGCAUUAUUCAUUGUUCUUCAAUUUUUCUUGUAUCUUUGAUUUCAAU
Molecule: long non-coding RNA, 280 nt
Filed under: Olea europaea (common olive)
Lineage: Eukaryota; Viridiplantae; Streptophyta; Magnoliopsida; Lamiales; Oleaceae
Description: long non-coding RNA (OEUR_LNC000097)
Source: RNAcentral